GGGAAGGUUGGGGAAACUUUAUCCCCAACUCUCAUGACCUUUCUCCAAUUAGGCUGUGUAAUGAGAAGAAAGGCAAACGAAGGAGAAAGGAGUUCGGAGGAACGGCCCUGGGUGCUGGCCUUUUCCAAAGAGUCUCACUGUCACCCAUGCUGGAGUGCAGGGAUAAUCACAGCUCAUGACAGCCUCAACCUUCCCGGCUCAGAUAAUGAGGCACAAGAGAAACUGAAGAUCAUCUAUAUUUGAUUUUGGAAAAGAAUCACAAAUAAAUUUUAAAGUACACACUAAUAAAGUCUAUUCCUGACAUAAGGUCCUGCCAAUAUAGUGCUGUCUACAGGUCAUCUACUUCACUCCGACCAAGCCAAAGGAAGUCAAAUUACUCAAGUCAAUUACUGAUGAUUCAUUGGAUCAUAUCCAAAAAAGUGACCUAGCAGAGAUUUAUGAAUAGCUUAUUAUCCAUAUGCCUCUGAAUAAAGCCUGUGGAUCUCAGGGAUUAUAUCCCAACAUGGACUUUUUAAUCAAGAAGGCCUCUCUCACAUCCUUUGUAGGAGGAUGGCUUCUAAAGGCUGAAGUGGGGAAAGCAAAGUCACUGGCUCAGCAGCAGACUCUGUCAACAUAAUCAUGGAUUUCAUGGGGUGUGUCCCCGAAGGGCUCUCCUAGUCUUCUCAAAAAGUCCUCCACUAAAAAUGUUUAUUCUGACUAGCCUUACAACAAAACAAAAUCAAGGCCGGGCGCGGUGGCUCACACCUAUAAUCCCAGCACUUUGGGAGGCCGAGGCAGGAGGAUCACGAGGUCAAGAGAUCGAUACCAUCCUGGUCAACGAGGUGAAACCCUGUCUCUACUAAAAAUACAAAAAUUAGCUGGGCAUGGUGGUACGCACCUGUAGUCCCAGCUACUCGGGAGGCUGAGGCAGGAGAAUUGCUUGAACCCAGAAGGCAGAGGUUGCGGUGAGCCAAGAUCGUGCCACUGCACUCCAGUCUGGGUAACAACAGCAAAACUCCGUCUCAAACAAAAACAAAAACAUGUAUUCAAGCCGAAUGCAGUGGCUCAUGCCUGUAAUCCUGGCACUUUGGGAGGCGGAGGCAAGAGGAUCUCUCGAGCCCCAGAGUUCAAUACUAGCUUGGGUAACAUAGUGAGACCCCCGUCUCAACAAAAAAUAAAGAUUAACUGAGCAUGGUGGUGUGCACCUGUAGUCCCAGCUACUUGGGAGGCUGAGGGAAGAGGAAUGCUUGAGCCCAGGAGUUCAAGGCUACAGUAAGUUAUGAUUGGGCCAUGGCACUCCAGACUGGGCAACAGAUUAUGCUCUUAAAAAAAAUAAAAACUUAAAAAAAAAAAAAGUUUAUUCAUCCUUUUUUUUUUUGGAGACGGAGUCUCACUCUAUCACCAGGCUGGAGGACAGUGGCAUGAUCUUGGCUCAUCACAAUCUCCGAUUCCCUGGUUCAAGCAAUUCUCCUGCCUCAGUCUCCCAAGUAGCUGGGAGGCACCCGCCACCAUGCCAAGCUAAUUUUUGCAUUUUUAGUAGAGAUCGAGUUUCACCAUCUUGGCCAGGCUGGUCUUGAACUCCUGAUCUUGUGAUCUACCCGCCUUGGCCUCCCAAAGUGCUGUGAUUACAGGCAUGAGCCAUGGCACCCUGCGAGACUCGGUCUUUUAAAAAAAUUGGGGCCAGGAGUGAAAAAAACAAAAUAAAAUAAAAAAAUUGGGGCCAGGCAUAGCAGCUCAUAUCUAUAAUCCCAGCACUUUGGGAGGCUGAGGCAGGCAAAUCACUUGAGGUCAGCAGUUCGAGACCAGCCUGGCCGAACUGGUAUAAAAACCCCAUUUCUACCAAAAAUACAAAAAAAUUAGCUGGGUAUGGUGGCAUGCACCUGUAGUCCCAGCUACUCAGGAAGCUGAGGCAGGAGAAACACUUGAACCCAGGAGGUAGAGGUUGCAGUGAGCCAAGAUCGUGCCACUGCACUCCAGCCUGGGCAACAGAACAAGACUCCAUCUCAAAAAAUAAAUUAAAUAAAUUUUUAAAAAUUGGGACAAUGUUUGAGGUUUGCUCCAUAAUAAUCCAGGAAGGAGAAAGGCAGUAGAUGACAACAUUCAGUGGCUCUCUCGGCCAGAAACAAUUUUGCCUCCCAGGGACACUGCACAAUGCCUGGAGAUAUUUUUAGUAGUCACAACUGGAGGUUGCUACUGGCAUCUAGUUGACAGAUGCCAGGGAUGUUGUUAAACAUCCUGCAACUCACAGAAAGACCCCCACAGCAAAGGCUCAUCCAGGCUUAAAUGCCAACAGUAUCAAGGUUGAGAAAACUAGAAUAAAUGCGACAAGAGUGCUACAGUUAAGCAACAGGAAGUGAAGGGUGAGGAAAUUCAGAAUUGGAAAUUCAUUAAGCUUGUCUAUUUUAUUUGAAAAUUUUCAUAAUAGUGUUGCCUCAUAAUUUAUUAUUAUUGUUUUUUGAGAUGA
Long non-coding RNA from Callithrix jacchus (white-tufted-ear marmoset), 2443 nucleotides. RefSeq lists it as uncharacterized. Lineage: Eukaryota; Metazoa; Chordata; Mammalia; Primates; Cebidae. The record is from RefSeq and is a predicted model, not a curated record.